GGCGGAAGUUGGCCCCUGGUCAGCCGGGAGAUUCAAAGCGUGAGAGCACAAGAGCUGAAGAGGCAGAACCGGAGAGUCUUCUGUGCGGUGAGGAUCGCUUGUUUGUACAUUCAUUCCUACAAGAGCUUCUGAGCACAGGAUCGAUUUCCCACAUGUCUGACCUAUUGAGGGCCACCUCAAGUUCUUAUAACUGGAACAAAUGAUUUCCACUUCUUAAUGAAAUUGCAAAGAGCCAGAGAAUAUAUAGCGUUGUUCCUAGCAGGCCGCCCCUCCCCCCCGUCUUCUGAUCCUGGCUGAUGUCGCGGAGACUUGUCUCUGGAUCACUUGCUUAGUGGGCCCACCUCUGAUCCGCCUUGUCGGGGCUCCGGACCUCUGUGCGGCACGGGCCCUUUAUGAACUAUGAGGCUGAAGUUUGA
This is a long non-coding RNA of Hippopotamus amphibius kiboko, 416 nucleotides long. RefSeq lists it as uncharacterized. The transcript is spliced from 4 exons. The record is from RefSeq and is a predicted model, not a curated record. NCBI's taxonomy places the organism in Eukaryota, Metazoa, Chordata, Mammalia, Artiodactyla, Hippopotamidae.